AUGAAGGAUGUCAUGAGAGCUCGCUUCGUGCCUACACACUACACCCAUGAUCUCUUCAAGAAGUUGCAACUCCUCAAGCAAGGCACGAAGACGGUGGAAGAAUACUACCAAGAGAAGGAGAUCGCCAUGAUACGAGCCAAUGUCAAGGAAGACGACGAGCAAACAAUGGCCCGCUUCUUGAAUGGCCUCAACCACCCCAUCAAGCGGAUUGCCGACUUCCAACCAUACUCAAACCUUCUCGAGCUAGUUCAACAAGCGACCAAGGCCGAGCGACAAGUGCAAGAUGACUUCAAAUACGCCAAGUACUCGUCCAAGACUUUCGGCUCCUACUCUCAAGCUCCCGCGACUUCAGCAACUCCUACCUCAAAUAGAACAUCACCAAGUACCGGCAAUAAGUCAAGUUCCAAGCAAGCUACGCCUUCCUCGACUCGAUCUCCAACAAGAAACUACAAGUCCAAGAAUCCAUCAUCUUCGGCGCCACCAAACGACCCCGUCAAGACAAGUUCUUUCAAGUGUUUCACAUGUGGAGGCCGAGGACACAAGUCCUUCAAAUGCACCAACAAGCGGACAAUGAUUUUCAAUGAUGAUGGCACAUACGACUCGAUGAGAGAAGAAGAAAUGGAAGCCCUUGAGCACGUCGCAAUGCACCACCGCGUGAACGAAGAUGAAGAUGAUCAAGUGUUUUGUGACAACGAUUCAAGUCCCUCUCUCGUGGUCUCCAAGGUCUUGACACUCCAACACCAUCAAGAUGAAGACCAACGAUGCCACAUCUUCCACACCAAGGCCGGCAUCAAUGGGCGUUCCGUGAAGGUCAUAAUCGACGGAGGAAGUUGUCACAACUUGGCAAGCGACGAGCUAUGUUCCAAGCUGCAAUUGGUCAAGAAGAAGCACCCUCAUCCCCACAAGGUGCAAUGGCUAAGAGACUUCAGCACUAUCCAAGUGGAGCAUACAGUACAAGUUUCAUUCAAGAUCGGUGCCUACGAGGACACCUUGGAGUUUGACGUUGUAACUAUGUCCGUGUGCCAUCUUCUCUUGGGUCGACCUUGGCAAUUUGACUGCGGAGUCACCCACAAUGGAAGAACAAACCACUAUAGCUUCAAGAUGAAAGGCAAGGAAUAUGUGCUUCAACCUAUGUCACCAAGCCAAGUAAUCGCCGACAAGCAAGAUUCCACCCACCGUAGAGAGCCUAGUGAGAGAGUGAACCACCAAAAACAAAGUGAGAGCCACAAGCCAAAAUUGAGCGCCUCUUCGCCAAGAGAGAAAAACUUAGUCCUCCUAGCCAUAAAAAGAGAGAUGAGAGACAUAUGUGAGAACCCAUCGAGUAUCAUCCACUUUGUCCUCCUAUGCAAAGAUGAGGUGGCAGAAACUAACAAUCCUAAUCCUCUGCCUCUAGUGUUUUCUAACUUGUUGCAGGAAUUCAAAGAUGUCUUCCCCGAUGAGCUACCUCCCGGUCUCCCUCCUCUAUGUGGCAUUGAACAUAGGAUCGACCUCAUCCCCGGCGCACCUCUUCCGAACAAGGCUCCCUACCGCGUCAAUCCCGAAGAAACUAAGGAGAUCCAACGGCAAGUACAACAACUCAUCGACCACGGUCAUGUACGUGAAAGCUUGAGCCCUUGUGCCGUUCCGGUUAUACUUGUGCCCAAUCAAGAUGGUAGUUUUCGCAUGUGCUCCAAUUGUAGACCCAUCAAUGAUAUCACCGUUCGUUAUAGGCAUCCUAACCUCACCUACAUGAUAUGUUACAUGAGCUUAGCGGCGCGACCAUUUUCUCCAAAAUUGAUCUCAAAAGUGGCUAUUAUCAAAUACGCAUACAAGAAGGUGACAAAUGGAAAACUGCUUUCAAAACUAAAUUUGGCUUGUACGAGUGGUUAG
RNAcentral lists this ribosomal RNA (1869 nucleotides) under Triticum aestivum (bread wheat). Its description in RNAcentral is "partial small subunit ribosomal RNA". Lineage: Eukaryota; Viridiplantae; Streptophyta; Magnoliopsida; Poales; Poaceae. The record is from RNAcentral.